This 404-nucleotide unclassified non-coding RNA is filed under the name soil metagenome. Its description in RNAcentral is "partial contains 5.8S ribosomal RNA, internal transcribed spacer 2, and large subunit ribosomal RNA". The stretch from base 1 to 122 matches the Rfam family "5.8S ribosomal RNA", at positions 35 to 154 of the family's 154-position model. The record is from RNAcentral.
GAUGAAGAACGUAGCAAAAUGCGAUACUUGGUGUGAAUUGCAGAAUCCCGUGAACCAUCGAGUUUUUGAACGCAAGUUGCGUCCGAAGCCUUUUGGCCGAGGGCACGUCUGCCUGGGCGUCACGCAUCGCGUCGCCCCCCACAACUCUCCGUAAAGGGAACUUGUGUUUUGGGGGCGGAUAUUGGUCUCCCGUGCUCAUGGCGUGGUUGGCCGAAAUAGGAGUCCCUCCGGUGGACGCACGAACUAGUGGUGGUCGUAAAAACCCUCGUCUUUUGUUUCGUGCCGUUAGUCGCGAGGGAAACUCUUUAAAAACCCAAAUGUGUCGUCUCUUGACGGCGCUUCGACCGCGACCCCAGGUCAGGCGGGACUACCCGCUGAGUUUAAGCAUAUCAAUAAGCGGAGGA